GGGGAAUAUUGGGCAAUGGGCGAAAGCCUGACCCAGCAACGCCGCGUGAAGGAAGAAGGUUUUCGGAUUGUAAACUUCUGUCCUCAGGGAAGAAGGAAGUGACGGUACCUGAGGAGGAAGCCCCGGCUAACUACGUGCCAGCAGCCGCGGUAAUACGUAGGGGGCGAGCGUUGUCCGGAAUGACUGGGCGUAAAGGGCGCGUAGACGGUUUUUUAAGUCUGGAGUGAAAGUCCUGCUUUCAAGGUGGGAAUUGCUUUGGAGACUGGAAGGCUUGAGUGCGGAAGAGGUAAGUGGAAUUCCCAGUGUAGCGGUGAAAUGCGUAGAGAUUGGGAAGAACACCAGUGGCGAAGGCGACUUACUGGGCCGUAACUGACGUUGAUGCGCGAAAGCGUGGGGAGCGAACA
This 404-nucleotide ribosomal RNA is filed under the name uncultured bacterium. RNAcentral describes it as "bacterial SSU rRNA". It matches the Rfam family "Bacterial small subunit ribosomal RNA", at positions 356 to 774 of the family's 1533-position model. The record is from RNAcentral.